AUUGAACGCUAGCGGGAUGCUUUACACAUGCAAGUCGAACGGCAGCGCGGACUUCGGUCUGGCGGCGAGUGGCGGACGGGUGAGUAAUGUAUCGGAACGUGCCCAGUAGCGGGGGAUAACUACGCGAAAGCGUAGCUAAUACCGCAUACGCCCUACGGGGGAAAGCAGGGGAUCGUAAGACCUUGCACUAUUGGAGCGGCCGAUAUCGGAUUAGCUAGUUGGUGAGGUAACGGCUCACCAAGGCGACGAUCCGUAGCUGGUUUGAGAGGACGACCAGCCACACUGGGACUGAGACACGGCCCAGACUCCUACGGGAGGCAGCAGUGGGGAAUUUUGGACAAAGGGGGCAACCCUGAUCCAGCCAUCCCGCGUGUGCGAUGAAGGCCUUCGGGUUGGAAAGCACUUUUGGCAGGAAAGAAACGUCGCGGGCUAAUACCCCGUGGAACUGACGGUACCUGCAGAAUAAGCACCGGCUAACUACGUG
This 484-nucleotide ribosomal RNA is filed under the name uncultured bacterium. Its description in RNAcentral is "partial 16S ribosomal RNA". It matches the Rfam family "Bacterial small subunit ribosomal RNA", at positions 29 to 507 of the family's 1533-position model. The record is from RNAcentral.